RNAcentral lists this ribosomal RNA (468 nucleotides) under uncultured bacterium. RNAcentral's name for it is "partial 16S ribosomal RNA". It matches the Rfam family "Bacterial small subunit ribosomal RNA", at positions 28 to 507 of the family's 1533-position model. The record is from RNAcentral.
GACGAACGCUGGCGGCGUGCUUAACACAUGCAAGUCGAACGGAAAGGCCCUGCUUUUGUGGGGUGCUCGAGUGGAGAACGGGUGUGAAACACGUGAGUAACCUGCCCUUGACUUUGGGAUAACUUCAGGAAACGGGGGCUAAUACCGGAUAGGAGCUCCUGCUGCAGGGUGGGGGUUGGAAAGUUUCGGCGGUGGGGGAUGGACUCGCGGCUUAUCAGCUUGUUGGUGGGGUAGUGGCUUACCAAGGCUUUGACGGGUAGCCGGCCUGAGAGGGUGACCGGCCCCAUUGGGACUGAGAUACGGCCCAGACUCCAACGGGAGGCAGCGGGGGGGAAUAUUGCACAAUGGGCGGAAGCCUGAUGCAGCAACGCCGCGUGCGGGAUGACGGCCUUCGGUUUGUAAACCGCUUUCGCCUGUGACGAGGCGUGAGUGACGGUAAUGGGUAAAGAAGCACCGGCUAACUACGUG